Molecule: RNA transcript, 3532 nt
Organism: Marmota monax (woodchuck)
Lineage: Eukaryota; Metazoa; Chordata; Mammalia; Rodentia; Sciuridae
Gene: Pofut4
Gene name: fucosyltransferase 11
Exons: 4
Source: RefSeq, a predicted model, not a curated record
CCUUUGGCGUAAGACCUCGUCUCGCCGUAGCUUGCCGGCGGGUGGGGUCUUGUGCUGGCCGAGGGCCGCCAGCUGCCAGAAUGGACAUGGCGGCCGGACGCACCGGAGUUCUGCUGGCUGCCCUUGGUGUGCUUAUUGUCUGUGUGGCCAACGGCUCUGGGCCUGUGGCUGAAGGAGAGGCGAGCGGGGAGGUGGAGUGGGUGGAGCCAUGGGACGGCGCGGUUUUCCGGCCGCCCUCGGCCCUGGGCGCGGUGGGGGUGGCGCACAGAACCGGGACUCCGCAGCUGGGAAGGCAGGAGACAGCGGACUUGCCGGUGCUGCUCUGGUGGAGCCCUGGACUAUUUCCCCAUUUCUCAGGCGACUCGGAGCGCAUUGAGUGCGCGCGCGGCGCGUGCGUGGCGUCUCGCGACCGACGAAUGCGGGGGAACACGCAGACGCGCGCGCUGCUUUUCUACGGCACCGACUUCCGCGCGUCUGACGCGCCGCUGCCGCGCCUGGCACACCAGAGCUGGGCGCUUUUACACGAGGAGUCGCCCCUCAACAACUUCUUGCUGAGCCACGGCCCGGGCAUCCGCCUCUUCAAUCUUACCGCCACCUUCAGCCGUCACUCGGACUAUCCCCUACCACUGCAGUGGCUGCCCGGGACCUCCUAUCUGCGCCGCGCGGCGCCUCCUCUCCAGGAGCGUGCUGAGUGGCGCCGUCGCGGCUACGCACCACUACUCUAUCUGCAGUCCCACUGCGAUGUGCCUGCGGACCGGGACCGCUACGUGCGCGAGCUCAUGCGUUACAUCCCGGUGGACUCCUACGGCAAAUGCCUGCAAAAUCGGGAGCUGCCCACCGCGCGGCUUCAGGACACGGCCACAGCCACCACUGAGGACCCAGAGCUCUUGGCUUUCUUGUCCCGCUAUAAGUUCCACUUGGCCCUCGAAAAUGCCAUCUGCAACGACUACAUGACAGAAAAACUGUGGCGCCCGAUGCAUCUGGGUGCUGUUCCAGUGUACCGCGGCUCUCCUUCUGUGAGGGACUGGAUGCCGAACAACCACUCCAUCAUCCUUAUUGACGACUUUGAGUCCCCUCAGAAGCUGGCAGAAUUUAUUGACUUUCUGGAUAAGAAUGAUGAGGAAUAUAUGAAAUACUUGGCAUAUAAGCAACCUGGGGGCAUCACCAACCAGUUCCUUCUGGAUAGCUUGAAGCAACGGGAGUGGGGAGUGAAUGAUCCUCUACUGCCUAACUACCUGAACGGCUUCGAGUGCUUCGUUUGUGACCACGAACUGACUCGGCUGGACGCCGUGAAAGCCCAUGCAGACUCUCCUGGGGACAUCCCUGUCCCUGAGCCUCACAUUGCCCAACCCGCUCACAUGGACUGCCCAAUGCCCAAACCUGGCUUUGGUAACUUGGAAGAGAUUCCUGAGAAUGACAGCUGGAAGGAGAUGUGGCUGCAGGAUUAUUGGCAAGGUCUGGACCAGGGAGAAGCUCUCACUGCCAUGAUCCACAACAAUGAAACUCAGAAGAGUAAAUUUUGGGAUUACCUGCAUGAGAUCUUCAUGAAAAGGAACCAAAAUCUCUAACUGCCCUUGUAAGAGCUUUUUACUUGGAAGAUCUAAGGAGAUCUUAUUUUAUCAUGGCAUACUUUCUUUUUUCUUUUUUCAGAGACAAGGGCUUACUGCAUUGCCCAGGUUGGCCUUGAAUUCUUCCUGCCUCAGCCUCCCAUUUAGCUGAGACUAAAGGCACAUGCCAUUGUGCCCAGACAAACAUUCUCUUAUCAUGGAUUUAGUUAUCUUAAUGAUGUGUUACCAAGGUCUCAACAUGUGGUAAUAGGUCUCCAGGAGAGAUGGAGGCAUCCAGUUCUUGGUUCAUUGGGAAACAGAAGCCUAAAACACCCAUUUGACACAAGGUGCUGGCCCAAAAGAGUUUUUAAAGGACUGUUCACUUCUCUAGCUCUUUCAUCCUCUCAAUUUUGAGUUUUCGGCGGACACAACAUCUUUGUAUGUGGUGCUGAGGAUCGAACCCGGGCCGCACGCAUGCCAGGAGAGCGCACUACCGCUUGAGCCACAUCCCCAGCCCUCUGAUCUAUUUUAGAUCAAAGAUGGAGACUAAAGUUGGAAAUUACAGCAGAAAAAGUUGAAUAGCCCAACUAUUCCAUACAGCUUUGUGGACAGAGAAUUACUGUUAGAUGGAGCACACCCAAAGCCCUAAACUCAGAGAUGAAGAGGCAAGGCAAGAAAUUUAAGCCACCACAAGUGGCUGGCUAAAUAAAAACCUUAGAUUUAGGGAUGCAGCCAAGCCCUUCUAUUCCUGUGGCUCAAACAGAUAGUCUAGUGAGUAAGGAGACCAUGAGCUUUCCCUGGAGUAGUGGAACAAAAAAGAAUACUUUGGAUAUUAGAGCAACUCUGGUUGUAAUAUAUUAGCAAAUUACCACUGGAGAAGUUCUGUAGCUUAUCAGUAUAUCUGAUUAUAAAAUUAUAUAUGUCCAUAUCUAUAUGUAGAUAGGGAGAUAUAUAUGCAUGUUAGAUGCUUCAACAACUAGGUCCAUGUUUAACAUUGUAGCAUCUGUGGAUGUGAUCAAGAAAAACUGUAAUUUAGGCUGUAUUUCAUUGCCAAGGUUGUUUUUUUUUUUUUUUUAAAUGGUGCUGAGGAUUGAAUCCAAGGCUGCGAACAUGCUAAUAAGCAUGAGUUCUGCCUCUAAGCUACACCUCCAGCCCUUCAUUUUACACUUAAAAUGAUAAAAGAUGUCCUUUAUCAUAGUAGGAAAAGUUUUCAUAACCUGUUUUGUCUCUUGCAGAAAAGAACAAAAAAAGACCUUCAAAAAUACAUCUGUUAAAAUUUGAUAUAGUUGGCACCCAUAAAAAACACACACAGGACUCUGAUUUCUAAGCUUGCAAUCUGUUUCAGUGCAGAUGCUGAUUCACAUUGCAAAAUACAUAUUGCAUAAGUGCAAACUUAGGUUAGAACUCAGAUUGCAUUCUGUGCAAUAAAAAGGGUAAGUGAUGGUUAUGCAAGAAGUAGAAUAAUCCCUACCUCUCCUAACUGCCAGUUCACAUUAGCAUUCCUUUAGCACUUUUAUACACAAAGUAGGCCAUUUGUUUUUGAAUGGUUUGCUGAAGACUCAGGCCUGCUUUGUGCUCAGGUCUUCCCAGACUUUCUUCCCUAUUCCUUUUAACCAUGUAAGUAUUCACAAAAAGCAGGGUAAAUCAGGUGCUAUGUUUCUAUAUGGGAAAAACAAAAACAAACAAAAAACUACUAGGAAUGGCACCCUGGUACUUAUCAAUUAAAAGUUUCACUUUCCCUAUGGAGAAAGCAAGCAAUGUUAAUUUUUUUGUGGUUUGGGGCCCAGCUUGCUGUGUAUACAGCAGCAGUAUAUUUGCUGCAGGCUGUGCUUACUGAUGGUAGAAGUGCCUGGUAGGAAUCUUUCUUAUUUACACUGUGCUCUACUGUGGGGGUAGAGCACAAGGCUAAUGUCUUUAUUCCUGCAAGUGUUGCUAUUUUUAUUAUCUCAGGUUUCAUUUUGUAUAAUAAACUGCUUUUUAAACAA